RNAcentral lists this ribosomal RNA (425 nucleotides) under uncultured bacterium. RNAcentral's name for it is "partial 16S ribosomal RNA". It matches the Rfam family "Bacterial small subunit ribosomal RNA", at positions 354 to 796 of the family's 1533-position model. The record is from RNAcentral.
GUGGGGAAUAUUGGACAAUGGGCGAAAGCCUGAUCCAGCCAUGCCGCGUGAGUGAUGAAGGCCUUAGGGUUGUAAAGCUCUUUCAGUAGGGAAGAUAAUGACGGUACCUACAGAAGAAGCCCCGGCUAACUUCGUGCCAGCAGCCGCGGUAAUACGAAGGGGGCUAGCGUUGUUCGGAUUUACUGGGCGUAAAGCGCACGUAGGCGGUUUGUUAAGUCAGGGGUGAAAUCCCGGAGCUCAACUCCGGAACUGCCUUUGAUACUGGCAAGCUAGAGUCCGGAAGAGGUAAGUGGAACUCCUAGUGUAGAGGUGGAAUUCGUAGAUAUUAGGAAGAACACCAGUGGCGAAGGCGGCUUACUGGUCCGGAACUGACGCUGAGGUGCGAAAGCGUGGGGAGCAAACAGGAUUAGAAACCCCAGUAGUCC